RNAcentral lists this ribosomal RNA (269 nucleotides) under uncultured bacterium. Its description in RNAcentral is "partial 16S ribosomal RNA". It matches the Rfam family "Bacterial small subunit ribosomal RNA", at positions 793 to 1055 of the family's 1533-position model. The record is from RNAcentral.
GUCCACGCUGUAAACGAUGAUCACUAGAUGUGGGUUCUGCUUAGCAGGAUCUGUAUCGAAGCUAACGCGUUAAGUGAUCCGCCUGGGGAGUACGGUCGCAAGAUUAAAACUCAAAGAAAUUGACGGGGGUCCGCACAAGCGGUGGAACAUGUGGUUUAAUUCGACACUACGCGAGGAACCUUACCUAGGCUUGACAUGUAAGCGCUACCGGCAGAAACGUCGGGUUUUGAGAAAUACAAACGAUUACACAGGUGCUGCAUGGCUGUCGU